Molecule: long non-coding RNA, 341 nt
Organism: Daucus carota subsp. sativus
Lineage: Eukaryota; Viridiplantae; Streptophyta; Magnoliopsida; Apiales; Apiaceae
Exons: 3
Source: RefSeq, a predicted model, not a curated record
ACAGCUUCUCAUGGAAGCUUAUUGUUCAAAUCAAAAAAAUCAAAACAAAAAGAAUGGCUAAAGCUUCUCUCAUAUGUUUCCUCUGGCGCCGAUUUCCACUUUCCAGUUCCCGGCGAUUGUUCCCUUCUUUCGCACUUUGUAGGCAAUGGCAGCUGAUGGUGAUGAAGACCGUUCUUGGCGUUUAUUCACCUCUGAAGAUAUGAUUGAAGGUUACAAGGCACUUAAGCGCAGAAAGACAACUAGAAAUGUCAAGAAAAAAGAGAGGGGGAGUACUGCAGCUGCACAGGCCUUCUGUUCAGACAAUUCCGAUGCACCGCGCACAGCAGAGUCAUCUGCCGUUG